CCUGCAAGAUGAAACCAAAACGUUUCCUCUUCUACGGUUUAUUGUUUUCUUCAAUCAAUUAGCUUUCAAAUUUGCUUGUAGCUCAUCAAAAUGAAACAUUUACGGGACUAACGAAGCAGAACAGAGUCAAGAGACAAAACACACAUAACAAGAAACCUAAUCACAACAUACACAAUUCGAAGAAUCAAUCACAAAGUAAAGUUCUUACUAGACCAGCUUAAAAACGUUUCUUCAAUCAAUUUCGUUCAAAUUGAAACCUUUACGGAACUAACUGAAGCAGAACAGUAUCAAAAAUGUCAUGCCUGUAAAACAUUCUUGUUCUGCACACACACACAAAGAUAUACCACAAGAAAAAAACACACAACAACAACAUCAAAUCCAAUCACAAACACACAAAAUUCAAAAACUCAAUCACAAAACCACAAAGUAAAGUUUCUCCUUUUCCGGUUUACCUAUUCUAGAAUCAAUUUGGUUUCAAAGUUGAAACCUUUACAGGACUAAUUGAAGCAGAACA
RNAcentral lists this long non-coding RNA (514 nucleotides) under Capsella grandiflora. Its description in RNAcentral is "long non-coding RNA (CGRA_LNC000602)". Lineage: Eukaryota; Viridiplantae; Streptophyta; Magnoliopsida; Brassicales; Brassicaceae. The record is from RNAcentral.